CAGUAGCCGCGGUAAUACGAAGGGGGCUAGCGUUGCUCGGAAUGACUGGGCGUAAAGGGCGCGUAGGCGGCGAUCAAAGUCAGGCGUGAAAUUCCUGGGCUCAACCUGGGGGCUGCGCUUGAUACUUGGUUGCUUGAGUGGGGAAGAGGGUCGUGGAAUUCCCAGUGUAGAGGUGAAAUUCGUAGAUAUUGGGAAGAACACCGGUGGCGAGGGCGGCGACCUGGUCCUUGACUGACGCUGAGGCGCGAAAGCGUGGGGAGCAAACAGGAUUAGAUACCCCCGUAGUCCCUGUCUCUUAUAC
RNAcentral lists this ribosomal RNA (301 nucleotides) under uncultured bacterium. Its description in RNAcentral is "partial 16S ribosomal RNA". It matches the Rfam family "Bacterial small subunit ribosomal RNA", at positions 509 to 807 of the family's 1533-position model. The record is from RNAcentral.